UAGGAAUUUGUCCACAUAAACCUCUCAUAAACCCUGUCUUGGGCGAGAAGAAAAAACGAACUAAAAGCCUUCUUUGAGAAUGGGUGGUGCUUCAUCGCAACUGGGGGAUGGACUAUCAAAGGAGAACACUUCAACAGCCACAUCUUCGUCACAACUUCCAAAUGAUGAAAAGUCAGCUCCCGCUACAGUCCCUGCAGAUUCAAAGCCAAAGAAGAAGAUCUGCUGUGCUUGUCCAGAGACUAAGAAGGUGAGAGAUGAAUGCAUUGUGGAACACGGUGAAUCAGCUUGUGAGAAAUGGAUCGAAGCUCAUCUUAAAUGUCUUCGAGCUGAAGGCUUCAACGUCUGAAACUGGUUACAGAACUAAUUCUCUAAAAAGGAAGAAAGCUGAUAUACUUAUGUAGAAUGACCGAUAUAUGUUGUCAUUACGAAAAUUAAUUAGCUAAUUUCUCACAGAUUAUUUUAUACAAAACAUUGUUUUUACA
Long non-coding RNA from Solanum tuberosum (potato), 482 nucleotides. RefSeq lists it as uncharacterized. The transcript is spliced from 2 exons. Lineage: Eukaryota; Viridiplantae; Streptophyta; Magnoliopsida; Solanales; Solanaceae. The record is from RefSeq and is a predicted model, not a curated record.